Molecule: long non-coding RNA, 1814 nt
Organism: Podarcis raffonei (Aeolian wall lizard)
Lineage: Eukaryota; Metazoa; Chordata; Lepidosauria; Squamata; Lacertidae
Exons: 2
Source: RefSeq, a predicted model, not a curated record
UUACAAUUUAAAGCCCUAAAUGGCUUGGGUACAGAUUGUCUGAAAGAUCACCUUUACUGAUAUAAUCCUGUCAGUAUGCUAAGAUCUACCACAGUCAAGAUUAGUUUGCUGUAUGUAAGAAUGGGCCUUGUCAGUGGUGAUCCCCAAACCAUUCAACUUCUGUUCCCAAAGACCUUCCUCUUUACAAUUGCCUUCAACUUAGAUGAUUAACAGCUUGGAUCUCCAGAGUAGCUUCUCAUUUUUUUGACUACAUGGGCAUAACCAGGAUUUUUGUGGCGGAGGCAGGCUUUUGUUGGGGGGCAAACCUCAGUUAAGUAUUUGUAUUGAUUUUUAUCGAUUGGGGGGCAGCUGCUGCCCCACCCCCUUUGCUACACCCAUGUUUGACUAUAUUUUUAUAUUGUAAUUUGUCUCUCACUCCCUUGCUCAUUACUUUGUGAGAAAGUAGUCCUAGAAAGUGGCUUAAAAUACUUUUAAUUAAUGAAUUAAAAUAAUAAUAUAGUGCAGAGGAUCAAACAUAGCCAGUGAUCUAAGACAGCCCACCAAAUUCAUAGCAGUGCUAAGAUUUGAACUAAUAAUCUGCAUGCAGCUCAUUACCCAUCCUCUCAACUACUAUAUACUUUUAACAGACUAAAGCAAGAGAUAAUAGACUCAGGCUCCCCUUGCAGGCACUGGAUUUAUCACAGCAGGAUACCCAGAUUUCCAGUUUAACCUGGAAAUAUCACCAGAUUAACCACUAAGUGGUUCCCCCCCCUUUUUUUUUACUGAAACAGUUGUGUUGAUAAGAUAGCAAGAUUUUAAGUCACACAGAACACUCCUUCGGACUGGAGGCUACAUCUCAAAGCAAUCCCCGCACGACGCUUUUCUUCCCAUCGUGGGGCCUCACUUUCACUCUACAUUUCUUUUAGCCGCUUCUAUGCAGCAAAAACGAAGCAAAUAAACUGAGGUUUAUGGUAUGCAACCUAAACCGCGCAGCUAUUACCAUGGGAACCUAUAUUUACUGCUCCUGCAAAUAAAAUUCCUGUCUCCCAGGACCCGAAUGGUUUCUGCGUGCAGUCUUGGAUUGGGAAGGAAUACCGCAUGUGCGCCGUAUGUAUGGAAAAUAUAACCUAACGUCCUUCCUGAAAAGAGAGAGCACGGAGCUAUGGAAUAUUCUGCACGUUCUCUAGUGCCGCGAUCACGAGACACUGACUUAAUCCCCCGGGGGCUCUCACUAGGAGAAGAAGGGACUGGCUGAUGCAAAAGUCUCUCUCCAGGAGAAGGGUGAAAAUUGCGCGCGGGGUUCCGGCUAUUCCCCAUUACUGGAAUGUCCCAGAAACAGAGUGCUUUGCCAGGAGGGAGGAGGGACCCGGCCGGGACUGCUGGGAUGCGCCCAGCCCGCCCCUGGCGGCCGGUAGGGGCUCUUGGGAGGCUGCCAGGGAGCUGCGGUAACAGCACCUUCACCGCUCUUGACUCUCCAACUGCGCUGUGUCCUGCUCAGACUUCAGGAAAUAUGGAGAAGCUACACAUCUUUUUGUUUCCAGCCUCCUCUGCCCAGAUGCAGGAGAAGCUCAAAAAGGCAGUCCCCUUUGUAGUCUCUCCCACCCUUCUGCAAAGCUUUUAAGGGAGACAGGGGAGUGUUUGAAUAGGGCUGUAUGCAUACUAUCCAAAUCUGACUGGUGUUUGUAUAUAUGAGCCUAAAGCAAGACCCCUGAGCUGCAUAAAACUUCAGAGGCAGAACAAUAAAUCCAUCAUUAGUUUCUCCAAACAUGUCCCGCUCUAUAACAUUUUUCUACUAUAUCACAAUAAAUUCUCUGUGCAGGUGGUAUUAUGAUCAC